GUAAAUGCAAUGAAAAGAAGAGUAGUAAAAUAAACAUUCCAUAAGAGAGCUGAUGUAUGCUGAAAAUUAGCGUUUGUGAAUUUUAUGAAGAUGGUCUUAGAGUAUAUUUUCUGAGCUAUAAUAUAAAUUAGUUAGGAAAGUACGGGAGCAACCGUUAUAUUGUGAGGUGAUGAUAGUCACCUAGUGAGUUAUUUAUUGUGAAGUAAAUAAGAAGUAGAGUGGUAACGCGUAUAAUACGUCUCUAUA
This 246-nucleotide non-coding RNA is filed under the name Clostridium saccharobutylicum. Its description in RNAcentral is "T-box sequence". It matches the Rfam family "T-box leader". Rfam says of the family: Uncharged tRNA acts as the effector for transcription antitermination of genes in the T-box leader family. T-boxes are found upstream of many aminoacyl-tRNA synthetase genes and some amino acid biosynthetic genes usually in Gram-positive bacteria. Lineage: Bacteria; Bacillati; Bacillota; Clostridia; Eubacteriales; Clostridiaceae. The record is from RNAcentral.